RNAcentral lists this long non-coding RNA (370 nucleotides) under Nicotiana benthamiana. Its description in RNAcentral is "long non-coding RNA (NBEN_LNC024170)". Lineage: Eukaryota; Viridiplantae; Streptophyta; Magnoliopsida; Solanales; Solanaceae. The record is from RNAcentral.
UCCCCUUCCCAUUCUCUCUGCAAACCCUAGACGCCGCCACACAAACUAACCCUAACCCUGUCGAUCCUUGUUGGUCUCCAUGGCUUCUCAAGCCAUGUAACCCUCACACUCACCUCUUAUGGAUCAUGCAUGCCUUUCCUUAGAAGGUUAGAGGCCAGACCUCGAGGUUCUUCUUUCAGACCCUCAGUGAUUCGAGGAUUCUGGCCAUCAAAGUCCUUGCUCCGGUGGUUCUUGGUCUUUUGUGCCACAUCAUGACAUUAUCCGACUUAGAUUGGAUAUUUUUGAAGCCUUUCUCAUCUCUAGGGUUCCUCUGGAACCCUAACUAUCGAGGUUCUUUCCGAUUAUUUUUAGAUCUGAUACAUGUUUGCAC